RNAcentral lists this unclassified non-coding RNA (2915 nucleotides) under Hevea brasiliensis (rubber tree). Lineage: Eukaryota; Viridiplantae; Streptophyta; Magnoliopsida; Malpighiales; Euphorbiaceae. The record is from RNAcentral.
GAGCAAUGGAAUGUAUGGGCGAAUAGAGUAUCGAGUUCAACUGGUGCGGGCAUAGUUGUAGAUCCUUAAAGAACCACACACAGCAAAGCUAAAGUACGCGACAAAGCUAGCAUUUCGAGCAACGAACAACGUGGCUGAAUAUGAGGCCAUUCUCAUGGCUCUGCACAUCAUCAAAGCGUAAGAGCCCAAAAAUUCAACAUUUUUUAUGACAAUUGGUUGUUAAACAACUACAGGAAAGUUAUUAAGUCGAAGACUCGAACCUGGGGUGGCAUAAAUCCGAGUAGAUAGCGGAGAAGUAAACAUUCUCUAAAUACCAAGAGAGGAGAACUAAGAGGCAGACUCCCUGGCAAAGGCAGCGGUAGUGGGCGAACAAUACCUGACACAAUCCAUCCCUUUUGAGGAGAUCGCAGCACCGACCGUGGACAAGGAAGAGGCAUUGCCAAUCGAUAUUGGAGAAACGUGGAUGACACCCAUCUUCUGUUGCUUCGACCAAGGCACACUACGAAGCCAAAAAGAUAGUACAGGGAUCAAUGAAGUAUAGUAUACUUGAUGGCUGGCUGUAUCGGAGAUUCUACCUUCAACCAUGGCUCAAAUGCGUUAAUAGAGAGGAUGGUUUGUUGGUCUUACUUGAGAUCCACGAGGGACUGUGCGAUAAACAUGAAGGGGCAAGAACAAUUGCCAAAAAGGCACUCAGACAAGGGUUUUUUUUGCCCAUUGCAGUGUAGGAAGCCAAGGAUUUAGUUCAGAAAUGCAGAAAAUGCCAAGAGCAUAGCAUCAUUCUUCGCCUCCCAGUGGAGAAACUUUCAUCCAUCGGCAGUUCAUGAACCUUCUACAAGUGGGGCAUAGACAUUCUUGGGCCUUUUCCAAUGGCAUCGAGCUCCCGAAAGUACGCAUAGUCGCCAUUGAUCACUUGACCAGGUGGCCGAAAGCCGAGGCAUCACAGUACUUAACAGCUUACCGAGCAAUAGCUUUCAUCAGACAAAAUAUCUUCUGCAGGUUUGGAGUUCCCAAAGUUAUCAUAACAGACAAUGGUACUCAGCUCGCUAGUAACAAAUUCGAAGAGCUUAGGAUCGAUCUUUGCUUCGCUUGAACCUAUCAUUCGCAGACAAGCGGAAUGAUUGAAGUCGCAAAUCGAACAAUACUUGAAGGAUUGAAGAGGCGGCUAUGUAGAGCUAAAGGAGCCUGGCCUGACCAUUUGCCGAGCAUCCUGUGGGCUUAUCGAACUACACCUAGGUCAGCUACAAGAAAAACUCCAUUUUCACUCGCAUAUGGAUCAGAGGCAGUAAUCCCCUCGGGAGUCAACAUCCCAUGAGCUCAAACAGAGCACCCUAAGGAAGCUUCACAAUAGGAAGACCUAUGGUUCAAUCUUGACACGACUGAAAAGCUGAGGGAGAUAGCUUUCAUUUGAAUGGCACAGUACAUAUAAAAGAUGAUCAACAUGUAUAACAAAAAAGUCAAAACGUCUAGCAUUCAUGGUCGAAAACUUUGUUCUUAAGAGAGACAAUGUCACAAGCAGCAUAGUCGAAGCUGGGAAGUUAGGAUGUAACUGGGUUGGACCUUUUGUCAUUUCUAAGGUUAUCUGCUUAGGGUUUUACAAACUAGCCGAGACAAAUGACAGAGUCUUGCCCUGAGCAUAGAAUAUCUAUAAUUUUUGCAAGUAUUAUAAACAAAGAGGAAUUUUUCAUAAUCUCUAAUUGUUCUAAUCUAAGGAUGCUUAGCUCAUUCAUGACUCCGCUAGACUAAAUAAUUUAAGGGUGUUUAGCUCAUCCACGAUAAUAGUCUGUUAGGCUAAAUAAUGUAAGGGUGCUUAGUCUAUCAAUAGUAAUAGUUCACAAAGUUAAAAUAAGCUAAAGGGCCUUUAGCUCAUACCCAUCGAUGAGCUACAAUAUAAGCAAAAUUUAAGGGCAACUACCCCGAUAGCAAGAUUAAUAAGAAUUAUGACGAAUAAGCUGCCUAUAUUAUGAUCUAAUGUCUUGAACAAGUAAAAGAAAAUCACUGUAAAUAUCUGAGCAACACAUUAUAUGCACGAAUGGUUUGUCUUAUUGAUGCUUUUCUUCGGUCAAAAUUUUGAGUGAUCUUCUCUAUAUUUUAUUAAUUACGUUUUGAUCAUGGGUAAAGCCGAGCAGUCGUCUUUGUCACAUUCUAUACCAAGUGAAAUUUCAUGCUUUAUGACAUUACGACUCAUACACGGCACCCAAGGUUCAUUACCAAUUAAGGUUCCGAGAAAAAAUUACUUGAACUUUUAUACAUAAAUUUUUAACACUUGUUGAUGCAGGAAUACCGAGCAAUUACUGGUGUUUUCCUUAGUGGUACGUUGGCCUAUGGGUCCAAGCAUUUAUCACUUACGGAAGUUAAUUCAUCAAGAUUGUUCAAUUAUUAUUGUUACAUUUUCUACUCGGUCUGUGGGUCCGAGCAUUUAUUAUUAUUGUCAUUACAUUUUUUACUUGGCCUGUGAAUCCGAGCACUUAUUACUAACAAGUUUUAAUGUUGUGUUCAGUUACUUAUUCCGAGCUAUGGUACUUUGCAACUUUCAAAAAGUAAAGAAAGGAAAAUACUGUUCAUUGAUGAGAAAAGGAAAUAUAAAGAUUAUCGAGUAUAGGGGCCUACUCAUCAUAUGCAACCCCCUGCUCAGGUGCAUUAACAUCAUUGACGUCUACAGCUUCGUCUUCGCCACCACCUAAAUCCUCUACCUAGGAGAAGUCAUUCCCUGGGUAGCGCCUUUGAAGCUCAAUGACAAUGUCAUUUUGGGCUUUGACAUAAAUGUUGACUGGUUGAUCGUCGGUGGUGGCGAGCUCCGCUUCCUGCUUUUCAACCUUUUUCUUAAGUUUGGUUUGUUUUGCCUGGGCAAUUUUGGGCUUCGACCUCAAGAGCGCACAUCUUCACCUUCAGCUUUUGAAGCUUGCCCUCCUGCUUCU